Rhinichthys klamathensis goyatoka is the source of this 305-nucleotide long non-coding RNA. RefSeq lists it as uncharacterized. NCBI's taxonomy places the organism in Eukaryota, Metazoa, Chordata, Actinopteri, Cypriniformes, Leuciscidae. The record is from RefSeq and is a predicted model, not a curated record. The transcript has 2 exons.
GCCAAAUGUGUGCUGGGAAAGGGAGUCUGAAACAGCGUUGGCGGCACUUGUGUAGUCCUGACACAAACCUCCCUCUCACCUGUAAGCAACGAGCUGAAAUACAGGAUAAAACUUUCACUGCCGAGAUGGAAGAUUUAGUCAGGAGCAACACAAACUAAAUCAUUACAUAUUUAGAAUUAAAAAAUUAUAAUAAUAACACAAUUAUUGUUUUAUUAAUUAUGUAAAACUGACUUGGUUCAAAAAAUAUGCAAGCACGUGUUUGAAAAAUAUCUCCUGCAGAAUAAAGACUAAUGGAUUAAAUGCUA